UAAUGCCUAGGAAUCUGCCUGGUAGUGGGGGACAACAUUUCGAAAGGAACGCUAAUACCGCAUACGUCCUACGGGAGAAAGCAGGGGACCUUCGGGCCUUGCGCUAUCAGAUGAGCCUAGGUCGGAUUAGCUAGUUGGUGAGGUAAUGGCUCACCAAGGCGACGAUCCGUAACUGGUCUGAGAGGAUGAUCAGUCACACUGGAACUGAGACACGGUCCAG
RNAcentral lists this ribosomal RNA (220 nucleotides) under uncultured Pseudomonadales bacterium. RNAcentral's name for it is "partial 16S ribosomal RNA". It matches the Rfam family "Bacterial small subunit ribosomal RNA", at positions 111 to 334 of the family's 1533-position model. The record is from RNAcentral. Lineage: Bacteria; Pseudomonadati; Pseudomonadota; Gammaproteobacteria; Pseudomonadales.